GUGAAUCAUCAAAUUUUUGAACGCAAAUUGCACUCUCUUCUGAGAGUAUGCCUGUGUGAGGUUGAGCCUAAAAAAAAUCGACAUCGUUGCUGUUUCGCGGUGGCGUUCGUCGGGAAUUGGGUGAUCUUAAAUCUUUGGUGUAUGCGACGUAAAAUUUUCGUUACGAUUCGAUGAACGUUUCCAAGAUUUAUUUCUGUACACGUUGAAGGUAUCGAUUUUAUUAGGCGUGGUC
Molecule: unclassified non-coding RNA, 232 nt
Filed under: Glomus sp.
Lineage: Eukaryota; Fungi; Glomeromycota; Glomeromycetes; Glomerales; Glomeraceae
Description: partial contains 5.8S ribosomal RNA and internal transcribed spacer 2
Rfam family: 5.8S ribosomal RNA (bases 1-65)
Source: RNAcentral